Molecule: unclassified non-coding RNA, 376 nt
Filed under: soil metagenome
Description: partial contains 5.8S ribosomal RNA, internal transcribed spacer 2, and large subunit ribosomal RNA
Rfam family: 5.8S ribosomal RNA (bases 1-120)
Source: RNAcentral
GAUGAAGAACGCAGCGAAAUACGAUAAGUAAUGUGAAUUGCAGAAUUCAGUGAAUCAUCGAAUCUUUGAACGCAUCUUGCGCUCCUUGGUAUUCUGAGGAGCAUGCCUGUUUGAGUGUCAUUAAAUUCUCAACUACACUGACUUUGAAUUGGUGUGGCUUGGAUUUGGGGGGAAAAUUGUUGUGGGCUUUUUGUAUAGUCUGCUCCCCUGAAAUUGAUUAGCGGUACCUUUGUGGAACUGUCUACAGGUGUGAUAAUUAUCUACAUCUUAGACAUCUGCUGGAAUGCUGCUUUCUAAACCUAACUUGUAUUGACAAUCUUGACCUCAAAUCAGGUAAGACUACCCGCUGAACUUAAGCAUAUCAAUAAGCGGAGGA